This 418-nucleotide ribosomal RNA is filed under the name uncultured bacterium. RNAcentral's name for it is "bacterial SSU rRNA". It matches the Rfam family "Bacterial small subunit ribosomal RNA", at positions 358 to 773 of the family's 1533-position model. The record is from RNAcentral.
GGAAUAUUGGUCAAUGGAGGCAACUCUGAACCAGCCAUGCCGCGUGCAGGAUGAAGGCCCUAUGGGUCGUAAACUGCUUUUAUACCAGAGAAAACCUCAGUACGUGUACUGAGCUGAUAGUAUGGUAAGAAUAAGCAUCGGCUAACUUCGUGCCAGCAGCCGCGGUAAGACGAAGGAUGCAAGCGUUAUCCGGAUUCAUUGGGUUUAAAGGGUGCGUAGGCGGACUGAUAAGUCAGUGGUGAAAUCUCUCGGCUUAACCGAGAAACUGCCAUUGAUACUGUCAGUCUAGAGUAUAGAUGACGUUGGCGGAAUAUGACAUGUAGUGGUGAAAUACUUAGAUAUGUCAUAGAACACCGAUUGCGAAGGCAGCUAACGAAACUAUAACUGACGCUGAGGCACGAAAGUGCGGGGAUCAAAC